GCGUAGAUAUCGGGAGGAACGCCGGUGGCGAAGGCGGCUCUCUGGGCCGUUCCUGACGCUGAGGCCCGAAAGCUGGGGGAGCGAAAGGGAUUAGAUACCCCUGUAGUCCCAGCCGUAAACGAUGGGCACUAGGUGUUCCCCCGCGAGGGGGAGUGCCGACGGGAAACCAUUAAGUGCCCCACCUGGGGAGUACGCCCGCAAGGGUGAAACUCAAAGGAAUUGACGGGGGCCCGCACAAGCGGUGGAGCGCGUGGUUUAAUUCGACGCUAAGCGAAGAACCUUACCUGGGCUUGACAUGCUGGUGGUACCCUGGUGGAAACACUGGGGGACUCCCUGUUGAGGGGAGAGCCAGCACAGGUGCUGCACGGCUGUCGUCAGCUCGUGCCGUGAGGUGUUGGAGCGCAACCCCUGCCCUUAGUUGCCACAGCAUCCAUGAGGUGGCUGGGCACUCUAAGGGGACUGCCGCCGAUGAGGCGGAGGAAGGUGGGGAUGACGUCAAGUCCGUGUGGCCUUUAUGUCCAGGGCUACACACGCGCUACAAUGGGUGGUACAAUGGGCUUUGCGACCCCGCGAGGGGAAGCGAAUCCCAGAAAACCACCCCCAGUUCGGAUUGGGGUCUGCAACCCGACCCCAUG
RNAcentral lists this ribosomal RNA (635 nucleotides) under hot springs metagenome. RNAcentral's name for it is "bacterial SSU rRNA". It matches the Rfam family "Bacterial small subunit ribosomal RNA", at positions 688 to 1322 of the family's 1533-position model. The record is from RNAcentral.